This 1131-nucleotide ribosomal RNA is filed under the name marine metagenome. RNAcentral's name for it is "bacterial SSU rRNA". It matches the Rfam family "Bacterial small subunit ribosomal RNA", at positions 358 to 1521 of the family's 1533-position model. The record is from RNAcentral.
AGAAUAUUGCACAAUGGACGAAAGUCUGAUGCAGCGACACCGCGUGAGGGAUGAAGGUUUUAGGAUUGUAAACCUCUUUUAUUAGGGAAUAGCAAGGAAGGUACCUAAUGAAUAAGCUACGGCUAACUACGUGCCAGCAGCCGCGGUAAUACGUAGGUAGCGAACGUUGUCCGGAAUCACUGGGCGUAAAGGGUCCGUAGGCGGUUUGAUAAGUCUCAUAUGAAAACUUCAAGCUCAACUUGGAGAGGUUGUGAGAUACUGUCAAACUAGAGACUGUUAGAGGUAAGUGGAAUUCCAGGUGUAGUGGUGAAAUGCGUAGAUAUCUGGAGGAACACCAGUGGCGAAAGCGACUUACUGGGACAGUUCUGACGCUAAGGGACGAAAGCGUGGGGAGCGAACCGGAUUAGAUACCCGGGUAGUCCACGCCGUAAACGAUGAUUGCUAGGUUUUCGGGGCAUCGACCCCUCGUGAGCCGAAGUUAACGCGUUAAGCAAUCCGCCUGAGUAGUACGGCCGCAAGGCUAAAACUCAAAGAAAUUGACGGGGGACCGCACAAGCAGCGGAGCGUGUGGUUUAAUUCGAUGGUAAGCGAAGAACCUUACCAGGGUUUGACAUGUAAGUAGUACUGAACCGAAAGGGGAUGGACCCGCAAGGGAGCUUACACAGGUGUUGCAUGGUUGUCGUCAGCUCGUGCCGUGAGGUGUUGGGUUAAGUCCCGCAACGAGCGCAACCCUCUUUGUUAGUUGCACUCUCUAACGAUACUGCCCUUAAAAGGGAGGAAGGUGGGGAUGACGUCAAAUCAUCAUGGCUCUUACACCCUGGGCUACACACACGCUACAAUGGCAAGUACAGACGGUUGCCAACCCGCGAGGGGGAGCUAAUCCGAUAAAACUUGUCUCAGUUGGGAUUAUAGGCUGAAAUUCGCCUAUAUGAACGUGGAGUUGCUAGUAAACGCAGGUCAGCACACUGCGUUGAAUACGUUCCCGGUCCUUGUACACACCGCCCGUCACGUCAUGGAAGUUUGUAACACUUGAAGUCGUUGCGCUAACCCUUUGGGAGGCAGACGCCGAGAGUGGGACGGAUGACUGGGACGAAGUCGUAACAAGGUAGCUGUACCGGAAGGUGCGGCUGG